GCAUAUCAAUAAGCGGAGGAAAAGAAACCAACAGGGAUUGCCCCAGUAACGGCGAAGUGAAGCGGCAACAGCUCAAAUUUGAAAUCUGGCCCUCGGGUCCGAAGUUGUAAUUUGAAGAAGGAUGCUUUUGGUGCGGUGCCUUCCGAGUUCCCUGGAACGGGACGCCAUAGAGGGUGAGAGCCCCGUCUGGUUGGAUGCCAAACCUCUGUAAAGCUCCUUCGACGAGUCGAGUAGUUUGGGAAUGCUGCUCAAAAUGGGAGGUAUAUGUCUUCUAAAGCUAAAUAUUGGCCAGAGACCGAUAGCGCACAAGUAGAGUGAUCGAAAGAUGAAAAGCACUUUGAAAAGAGGGUUAAAUAGUACGUGAAAUUGUUGAAAGGGAAGCACUCAUGACCAGACUUGGGCCCGGUGAAUCAUCCAGCGUUCUCGCUGGUGCACUUUGCCGGCCCAGGCCAGCAUCAGUUCGUUGUGGGGGAAAAAGGCUUCGGGAACGUGGCUCCUUCGGGAGUGUUAUAGCCCGUUGCAUAAUACCCUGUGAUGGACUGAGGUUCGCGCUCCGCAAGGAUGCUGGCGUAAUGGUCAUCAGUGACCCGUCUUGAAACACGGACCAAGGAGUCGUCCUCGUAUGCGAGUGUUCGGGUGUCAAACCCCUACGCGUAAUGAAAGUGAACGUAGGUGAGAGCUUCGGCGCAUCACCGACCGAUCCUGAUGUUCUCGGAUGGAUUUGAGUAAGAGCAUACGGGGCCGGACCCGAAAGAAGGUGAACUAUGCCUGUAUAGGGUGAAGCCAGAGGAAACUCUGGUGGAGGCUCGCAGCGGUUCUGACGUGCAAAUCGAUCGUCAAAUAUGGGCAUGGGGGCGAAAGACUAAUCGAACCUUCUAGUAGCUGGUUCCGC
RNAcentral lists this ribosomal RNA (892 nucleotides) under Calcarisporium arbuscula. Its description in RNAcentral is "LSU rRNA". It matches the Rfam family "Eukaryotic large subunit ribosomal RNA", at positions 38 to 960 of the family's 3401-position model. Lineage: Eukaryota; Fungi; Ascomycota; Sordariomycetes; Hypocreales; Calcarisporiaceae. The record is from RNAcentral.